RNAcentral lists this unclassified non-coding RNA (343 nucleotides) under soil metagenome. RNAcentral's name for it is "partial contains 5.8S ribosomal RNA, internal transcribed spacer 2, and large subunit ribosomal RNA". The stretch from base 1 to 120 matches the Rfam family "5.8S ribosomal RNA", at positions 35 to 154 of the family's 154-position model. The record is from RNAcentral.
GAUGAAGAACGCAGCGAAAUGCGAUAAGUAAUGUGAAUUGCAGAAUUCAGUGAAUCAUCGAAUCUUUGAACGCACAUUGCGCCCGCUAGUAUUCUGGCGGGCAUGCCUGUCCGAGCGUCAUUUCAACCCUCAAGCCCCCGGGCUUGGUGUUGGGGAUCGGCGAGCCUCCGCGCCCGCCGUCCCCUAAAUCUAGUGGCGGUCUCGCUGUAGCUUCCUCUGCGUAGUAGCACUCCUCGCACUGGGAAACAGCGCGGCCACGCCGUUAAACCCCCAACUUCUGAACGUUUGACCUCGGAUCAGGUAGGAAUACCCGCUGAACUUAAGCAUAUCAAUAAGCGGAGGA